CUCAGCUGUCCCGUCUCUUACUGCGCAGCGUCACCAGGCUUUAAGGCGACCUCUGAGAUCGUCCAGCGACACCUAUGGCUGAACACUUCCAUGUCAACCAGACCGUGUACCCUCUCUGUUAGAGGUGGGAGAAAAUGUGCCCAAAACCAGAUGACAUGAGUGUGCUGUUGGCCAGGAAAUGGCAGUUCAAGCGAAAUGAGAGUAGUGGUUACUCUUUGCUCAUACACAGCAGGAAUUAAUCAUAUGGAAGGAAGUGGAAGAUGGUUAAGCUGUUUGGGAACUGGAUAACUUCCAAUUUCCUUUACUAGUAAAGAUAACAUUUAAUCACGACAGAAGAUUAAAUGGCCUGUGCAGAAUCUUUCGCCUCUGGUAAGUGAAAAGCAAACAUCUUCACUCUGCUAGAUCUCUUUUUUUUCAUUACUACAGAAAAAUUAAAAUUAUUUGACUUGGCCUCAGGCCUUCAAUUGCUCUGUUGGGUUAUUAAAAAUACAGUGAAGAGCCAGUAAUGAGUGGUAUUCCUUAUGUAUCUUGGCUGUUUGUUCUUUACAAACGGAAGAUUGAUUAUAAUGGUUAAGAGACUUGGGAUUUAUUGACUUGUCUUCCUAGGAAUUUUUUAUCUCAUAAUUGCUUUCAAGAGUAUUUUCCUGCUUUUUUCACCCCCAUUAACCACUGAAUCAUCUUUUUCUAUAAUAAUCAGUAGUAGCUGAGAAUGCUAGCCAGUAAACUCAGUCCUAAGACCUGGCUUUUUCAAAGUUAUUAGGAGUAUUUGAGGGUGCUUACCGAAGUGAGGGAAUCUAAAAUAUUAGUUAGGUAGAAUUAUGGAUUUUACUAUCUUGAGGGUAAUUCAUCUGCUUUGGGAGGUGAGUUAAACAUUGUAUCAGAAAUGUCCAGGGGUUAAUAUUCGAUUGUUUCCCCUUUGUAUUUUAAACAAAGAAUUUGUUAAUUGUCAGCUCCUCUCCUGUCUCUGCAAAGAGGUUCCCUGUGUUAUUCACAGGUGAAUGUAGUAGUUAUUACAGACAUGUUAUGAGCAAACCUAGAGCAAAUUAAAUACUCUCACAAAAAAACACAGGCCCAUUUAAUGCUGAUAUAACAUCCCCAUGAAAUACCAAACCUUGAGUAUUAGAACACUGAUGUACUUUGUUCCAGUUUAGCCAUAUUCAUUUGGGGUUAAGCAGAUAAUCCUAUGAGCUUUGAGUUUUCUUUGUAGUCUCUCACUUCUCUGGUGGAAAAUAAGCUGCAGUACAGUCUCAAAAAUUAACGUAAUGCUUAAACUCUCAAAUGCUGUGGUUUAGUGAUAAAUACUUCACAGUGUAAUCCUUGCUCCUAAAAAACAUUUGGAAAGAAGAAGCAACUUUAUGUAAGUGAUAAUGAACUUUGAGGCUAAUUAUAAAUUGUAAUAUGCAUAUAUUUCUAGAUAUGAAUUAAUAAAAUAUUGAAAUCAGUUUUAGCACGUAAAAGAUGUCUAGGAAAUCUGUGUUUGGGAUGAGAAAGAAUUAUUUAGGGAAAAUGAUGUGAUGUGCAUCUUUUAAGAGUACUGACAUAAUUCCAUUUUUCAGAAAGAAUGAUGCAGAUUCCAAACCUGAAAAUUAUUUAGACUUUAUGAGGUAUGUAGGUCUUAGGUACCUAUUAUUUGGUUUAUCACAGUACUUUGUUUUUUCUUGAAUAGAAUUUGGCAUGAAGUUUUUUGGGGUUUCUCCAGUAUACAAGAUAUUACCAUAAAUUAAGGAAUGUUAGGGGAAAGAGGUACAAAGACAUCAAGUCCUUUGUUUCUGCCUGAGCCUGGCUCUGUAAGAACAGACUUAUAAAAACUAAGCUGUUUUAUCUGGUAUAUGGUAGAUUAUCUUCAAUAGUGAAAUAAGAGGAAACAAGUUGACCAUUCAGAAAUUACUGUUGUUGACUUAUGAAACAGAUGGAAAAAGAUUUUUGUUAAGCUGAUUGUGUAAAAUGGAGUGUAGCAAAGGAAUUUGAAUAUGAAAAUAAACUUGCAGUUCCAUGGUGUCACAGAACCACAUAUUACAGCAUAUUGACAUGUGCUUUUGCAUUUACAAGGGGGAUUGAUGCCAUACAGAGAUACUUAUUAGAUGUCACAGGAAUGGUUUUUGCAGCUGCAUAAACAGUAGCUUUUAUAUUGUUAGAUUGAGAUGGGUGCUGUAAAUACUGAUUUUCAAAGCAUAAAUCAAGUCAUCCAGGUUUUUGAUUUUAAAAUACUUUCUUUCAUUAUAAUUAAUAUUCAGUUUUGGCAGUGUGAUCCCAGUGUAAAAUCAUCUUAUCUUUCAGGCUGGCAUGGAUUAGGAAUCUUGCUUUGAUAAACAGUCAACAGACCUGAGCAAUCAUAGGGCUUACAUGUCAACUUUGAAAUAAGGACAUGUAAAAGUAAAUGGACUUAACUGAGUUUUGCUGUGAACAGAUACACAGAGCCUGACCAUACAGGAAACUUGGACUGUAGCUGUGGCUUGGUACAUCCACUCAAAUUCAGUUGUUUCAUUUUAAGCAGCAAUUUACUCAUGUUCCUAGGUAUAUGUGCUAAGAUUUUUAAAUUUUUUUUUUUUUUUUUUUACUACUAGCGCUGUUGGUACCCUUUCAGAUAAAGGAUUGUACUUAAAUAGUUUGGAAAAUUAAAUGUUGUGAUCAAAGAUAUAAGAACUUAUUUAGGUACAAAUAAGCCUUUUCCCCUCAUUCAGCAGGUUUCCUGCUAACGUACAGAAUUGUUUGUACCAAGUGUAAAACAAAGCAAAGCAUAUUUUAGUGACAAAGAUUCUGUGAAGUGUUCACAUGACAAACACCUUUUCUUGUAAAUCAACGACAAUUCUUUUCAUAACCCUUCUUAGUACUGGCUUAGUAAAAAUAGACAGUCAUUAUUGCGACAUGCCAUUGGAAUUUGUAGAUGCUAUGAGGUCAUCUUGUCUACAGCAGAUGAGAGAAUACCAUGCACUUUAAGUACACAUUGGUAUUUCUGUGAUCACUGAGGAAUCAGGAACAGCAUUAAACCUGAGUUUCCUGUGCCACUGCCAUCAUCUCUGUAAAUACAGAUGUCUCCUCAGAGAACUUGCAGGAGUUGUGAAUCACAGUCAGUUUUAUUUUCAUGCUGGCUGUAAGUUUACUUCUACAAUUUUUAUCACCAUUCAUUCUUCAUUAGAUAGUUUGCUCAGAUAGUCUAAGCUACUAUGAUAAAAGGUAAAAAUGAGUUAGAAAUCCCAAAAAGUAGUCAACACUGUUGGUCUUUUCCUGGUCAGUGUGUGUCUAGCGAGUGUGUCAUUGCUCAGGAGCAUUCAGUGCUAGCAGAGAAUAUUGCAGAUACGGGUACAAUGGAGUGCAAAAUCAGGAUGCUCCUAGAAAUGUAUGAAUUUAAGAGAGACACAGGCUAAUGGUACUUAGAUACAGCACUAGUAUGAAAUGUGAUAUUUUUCACUAAUGCCCCAAAAAAGUUUAAAGACCACAAUAUCAGCUUCAACCAGAUUGCGACUGCUAAACCAGUACUAGAUUUUUUUUCUAGAAGUGUCAGCUUUCUGUACUGUUAUACCCAGCAGUCUACCCAGCUAGUUUUCAUCUGCAGUGAAGGGAAGCUGAUUAUACUGAAAGUGGAAGUAUGGCUCUAGUAGUUCUGACUCAUUUCUUGAAGCACUGCUCAGUAACUGAACCCCACCCUGCCAUGGGCUGUGUAGGCAGAUUGGUUCUCAAAAACACCAUGGGAUAUUGGAACCAGUUAGCCAAAAGCCAGAACUGGUUGUAGGAGCUCUGGGGUAGCCAAAAGGCAGCUGUGUUCUGACCAUGUAAUCACAAGGCUAUGACAGUGACUGAAAUAUUACUCAGGCCAUUUGGGAACUUCUUCAAUUUUCCUCUUCUCCACAGACUUGGGCUCUGCAGGCUUCUUAUUUGUUUUAUUAGUACAGCUUUACUGUUCAAAGGCAACAUAACUUGGGAAAGACUAGGGAUCAUAUAAUUUUUAGCACAUGGAUAAAUAUACCUAAAAAAGAAAAUUCAGUCAUGCAAACCUAGCAUUUAUAAGAGUUAUAUGGAUUAGAAUAACCCAUGAAAACUACAUAUUACUUGUUGAAAGAAUCUGGAACUAACAAACUGUCACAAAUAGAGUUGUGUGUCCUAUAGGUCAUAGUGAGAUACUUAAUCCUGAGAUCAAUGAGAAGGAAAUAAAAUCUACCAAAUGUUUUCAUUAAAUAUUAAAAAAUUUUCGAGUAAAAAUUAACUAGAUUUUUUGUAACAUUUAUUUUCUGCAUGUAAUGCAUCAGAAAAUAAAGCCCAUUUUCAUUCUUUCAAAUUGAAAUACAUUCAGGGACCAGCACAAAAACUGGCACCAGGGUACUUACAGCCUUGUGGGUCUAAGACAAGAGCUGAUUAAGUUCUUUUUUAAACACGAGACAGGGUUAAUUUUGAAGUUGGGGAACAUUGAAGAAACUCAAUUCCCCAUUCUUUUUCCUCUUAAAUGUUGUACAUUUUAAGCAUUAAAAAACCCAACUUUAUCAUUCUAAUAAAAAUCUGUGAUUACAGCUGUUCAUCUUUUAUUUCAAAGAAAUGAUUUUUCAGUUGUAAGGGUCAUAUAUUAAGAUGUUUUUGGGUUUUUUUUUUGUACUACAUUCAGCACAACAAACACUAUGGUUGACAUCCAUCUGUCAAUAAAGGCUAUGCCCAGUGCUAGCUGGGGGAUCAGCUUUAGUCAAAUGUUUCCUGUAAAAAAAAAUACCCAAAUAAACUCAAACUACUCAGGGAAUAAAGUGCAGGCUAAUUUGGAAAUCAUGAGAAGUAUUCUUGGCAAAUUGUGAUGCAACAACUGCAGGUUAUUCAGAGCUGCUAUAAGGGACCCUGAAAGCCUUCCAUACAGGCUAGAUUUGGAUUUAAGAAAUAGGCUGUACAGUAUCAAACCAUGUAAAAAGCUUAAAAACCACAAUGAGAAUACAUUUUAAAAUUUUUCUUCUAUAUUGUAAAAAUUUUUAAAUUAGGUCCAAACCACCAUUUAAAAAGGUAUGAAAUGUGCAAUUUUGCAAGUGGAAACAAGGGGCACAAGAAGGAUACCACAGGGGUUAAUUGGAGUUGCUUUGUGAUUUCUUUGUUUCCAGUACCUUCAUAUACCC
Cyanistes caeruleus (blue tit) is the source of this 5084-nucleotide non-coding RNA. The record is from RefSeq and is a predicted model, not a curated record. Lineage: Eukaryota; Metazoa; Chordata; Aves; Passeriformes; Paridae.